CCAAUUUCUGUUAGAAUAAUAUUUGGAAGUUGGCAAUUUAGUUAGGGAAAACUACAUAGGGAAAAGUACAUAACAAAUCUAAGCCCUUAAUUAUACUCUCUCCGUUUAAAAAAGAAUGAUCAACUUUGACAUGACAUAAAGUUUAAGAAAAUAAAGAAAACUUUUGAAUCUUAUGGACUUAAAUUAAAGUAGUGUCAAAUGUACCAAAAUGUCCUUUAAUCUUGUGGUCCU
RNAcentral lists this long non-coding RNA (231 nucleotides) under Capsicum annuum. RNAcentral's name for it is "long non-coding RNA (CANN_LNC005231)". Lineage: Eukaryota; Viridiplantae; Streptophyta; Magnoliopsida; Solanales; Solanaceae. The record is from RNAcentral.